This 385-nucleotide ribosomal RNA is filed under the name uncultured Bicosoecida. Its description in RNAcentral is "partial small subunit ribosomal RNA". It matches the Rfam family "Eukaryotic small subunit ribosomal RNA", at positions 30 to 432 of the family's 1831-position model. Lineage: Eukaryota; Bigyra; Bicosoecida. The record is from RNAcentral.
GCUUGUCUCAAAGAUUAAGCCAUGCAUGUCUAAGUGUAAAUAAGUCUAUACUGUGAAACUGCGAAUGGCUCAUUAAAUCAGUUAUCGUUUAUUUGAUGAUCUCUUACUACUUGGAUAACCGUAGUAAUUCUAGAGCUAAUACAUGCGUAAAGGGGGCUGCAAAGCUUCUGUGUUUAUUAGAUACAACCGCCCGGGCAACCGGUUUUGGUGAGUCACAAUAACCGAACGAACCGCUUUAUGCGGUGGUUCAUUCAAGUUUCUGCCCUAUCAGCUUUCGAUGGUAGUGUAUUGGACUACCAUGGCGUUAACGGGUAACGGAGAAUUAGGGUUCGAUUCCGGAGAGGGAGCCUGAGAAAUGGCUACCACAUCCAAGGAAGGCAGCAGG